Molecule: ribosomal RNA, 486 nt
Filed under: uncultured bacterium
Lineage: Bacteria
Description: partial 16S ribosomal RNA
Rfam family: Bacterial small subunit ribosomal RNA
Source: RNAcentral
AUUGAACGCUGGCGGCAUGCCUUACACAUGCAAGUCGAACGGCAGCACGGGUGCUUGCACCUGGUGGCGAGUGGCGAACGGGUGAGUAAUGCAUCGGAACAUGUCCUGUAGUGGGGGAUAGCCCGGCGAAAGCCGGAUUAAUACCGCAUACGAUCUACGGAUGAAAGCGGGGGCCCUUCGGGCCUCGCGCUAUAGGGUUGGCCGAUGGCUGAUUAGCUAGUUGGUGGGGUAAAGGCCUACCAAGGCGACGAUCAGUAGCUGGUCUGAGAGGACGACCAGCCACACUGGGACUGAGACACGGCCCAGACUCCUACGGGAGGCAGCAGUGGGGAAUUUUGGACAAUGGGCGAAAGCCUGAUCCAGCAAUGCCGCGUGUGUGAAGAAGGCCUUCGGGUUGUAAAGCACUUUUGUCCGGAAAGAAAUCCUUGGCCCUAAUACGGUCGGGGGAUGACGGUACCGGAAGAAUAAGCACCGGCUAACUACGUG